This 142-nucleotide transfer RNA is filed under the name Zika virus. Its description in RNAcentral is "RNA promoter stem-loop A fused with tRNA from Zika virus (PDB 7LYG, chain A)". The stretch from base 32 to 104 matches the Rfam family "Dengue virus SLA". From Rfam's summary of the family: The SLA secondary structure includes a bottom stem-loop (previously reported as SL1 and SL2), a top stem-loop (previously reported as SL3 and TL) and a side-loop (previously proposed as side SL). The record is from RNAcentral. Lineage: Riboviria; Orthornavirae; Kitrinoviricota; Flasuviricetes; Amarillovirales; Flaviviridae.
GCCCGGAUAGCUCAGUCGGUAGAGCAGCGGUAGCUGUUGAUCUGUGUGAAUCAGACUGCGACAGUUCGAGUUUGAAGCGAAAGCUAGCAACAGUAUCAACAGCUACCGCGGGUCCAGGGUUCAAGUCCCUGUUCGGGCGCCA